This is a long non-coding RNA of Triticum dicoccoides, 487 nucleotides long. RefSeq lists it as uncharacterized. NCBI's taxonomy places the organism in Eukaryota, Viridiplantae, Streptophyta, Magnoliopsida, Poales, Poaceae. The record is from RefSeq and is a predicted model, not a curated record. The transcript is spliced from 2 exons.
ACCGCGUCUCCUCCUGCCGCCCCACGCGCCUUUGCCGCCAGGUCAGUUGUUGCUGACGAUCUACUGUCGCCCCAUGCCAUCGACCUACUGCUGCAGAGGAUGGAGUUGUCGUGUGCUCGGCAGCCUUGCGCAAUCUGUAUCCUGAGCGCGGUCGCGCCCCUCUCCCCCUCUAGAGUUUUAUUUCCAUUCAAGUGACUCCGGCAGCUAGAUGCACCCAUCCAAGAUCUGCACGACUGCUGGUGACUAUGAAAUUGUUUCCAAAAUUCUCUGUUUUAGCUACCUAUCAUAAAGGGUACCUAUCCAAGGCAUGCAUCAUUAGUCCAACAUAAAAUUUCCACACCCAAGGUCAUCUGUGAUCAGAGGAACACUUUAUGUACAAUCAGUACAGAGUACAGACCAUGUGAAACUAAAGAGCUAUGUAACUAUGUAAUAUGGGCUUUUAUUUUUGAUAAGGUAUGUUAAUUAUAUGAGAUGAUCACUUCCUUGA